Molecule: long non-coding RNA, 449 nt
Organism: Pygocentrus nattereri (red-bellied piranha)
Lineage: Eukaryota; Metazoa; Chordata; Actinopteri; Characiformes; Serrasalmidae
Source: Ensembl
GUUGGAAGUAAGAAGCAGGAAGCCUGUGUUCCUGUUUAUAGUUGUCAAGAGCUCUAGAGUGAAUCAAGCCAUCCAGCUGAUGUAUCAGUGGAGGCACUGCUUUCUAUUGUGCAAGGAGACGCAACCUGCAAAUGUCUAGCUUGACUGGCUUUACCAAGGGACUUCAAGAGAAUGGAAGAUGGAGUAGUGACAGUUUUGUGUGUACAGAGGACAUGGAGCCUGUGCUAAAUUUCCUUCGGGAUCAAUAAGGUAUCUAUCUAUCUACCUAUCUAUCUACCUAUCUAUCUAUCUCUAUUCAGAUCUGUACGUGUUGCUGAACUAUACUCAGAUCAGUAUGUAUUCUUCUCUGAGCAGUAUAUAUUAAAUACUCUGAUCAGUAUAUAUCGCUGUUUAGAUUAAUAUGUACUGUGCUCAGAUUAUUAUGCAGAUUAUGUUGCUGUAGAGCUGCC